RNAcentral lists this ribosomal RNA (1088 nucleotides) under Lophiostomataceae sp. A164-1C. Its description in RNAcentral is "eukaryotic LSU rRNA". It matches the Rfam family "Eukaryotic large subunit ribosomal RNA", at positions 31 to 1139 of the family's 3401-position model. Lineage: Eukaryota; Fungi; Ascomycota; Dothideomycetes; Pleosporales; Lophiostomataceae. The record is from RNAcentral.
AACUUAAGCAUAUCAAUAAGCGGAGGAAAAGAAACCAACAGGGAUUGCCCUAGUAACGGCGAGUGAAGCGGCAACAGCUCAAAUUUGAAAUCUGGCCCCUUUGGAGCCCGAGUUGUAAUUUGUAGAGGGUGCUUUGGCGUUGGUUGUGGUCUAAGUUCCUUGGAACAGGACGUCACAGAGGGUGAGAAUCCCGUACGUGGCCGCCAGCCUUCGCCGUGUAAAGCCCCUUCGAUGAGUCGAGUUGUUUGGGAAUGCAGCUCUAAAUGGGAGGUAAAUUUCUUCUAAAGCUAAAUAUUUGCCAGAGACCGAUAGCGCACAAGUAGAGUGAUCGAAAGAUGAAAAGCACUUUGGAAAGAGAGUCAAAAAGCACGUGAAAUUGUUGAAAGGGAAGCGCUUGCAGCUAGACGUGCCUUUGGUUGAUCAGCCGGGCUUUUGCCCGGUGCACUCUUCCUUUGGCAGGCCAGCAUCAGUUUGGGCGGCUGGAUAAAGGUCUGUUAAACGUGACUUCCUUCGGGGAGAGCUUAUAGGGCAGACGACAUGCAGCCAGCCUGAACUGAGGUCCGCGCAUCUGCUAGGAUGCUGGCGUAAUAGCUGUAAGCGGCCCGUCUUGAAACACGGACCAAGGAGUCUAACAUCUAUGCGAGUGUUUGGGUGUCAAGCCCGAGCGCGUAAUGAAAGUAAACGGAGGUGGGAACCCUUUGGGUGCACCAUCGACCGAUCUUGAUGUCUUCGGAUGGAUUUGAGUAAGAGCAUAGCUGUUGGGACCCGAAAGAUGGUGAACUAUGCCUGAAUAGGGUGAAGCCAGAGGAAACUCUGGUGGAGGCUCGCAGCGGUUCUGACGUGCAAAUCGAUCGUCAAAUUUGGGCAUAGGGGCGAAAGACUAAUCGAACUAUCUAGUAGCUGGUUCCUGCCGAAGUUUCCCUCAGGAUAGCAGUAACGUUUUCAGUUUUAUGAGGUAAAGCGAAUGAUUAGAGGCCUGGGGGUUGAAACAACCUUCACCUAUUCUCAAACUUUAAAUAUGUAAGAAGUCCUUGUUACUUAGUUGAACGUGGACAUUUGAAUGUAUCGUUACUAGUGGGCCAUUUUUG